RNAcentral lists this ribosomal RNA (293 nucleotides) under uncultured bacterium. Its description in RNAcentral is "partial 16S ribosomal RNA". It matches the Rfam family "Bacterial small subunit ribosomal RNA", at positions 775 to 1067 of the family's 1533-position model. The record is from RNAcentral.
GGAUUAGAUACCCUGGUAGUCCACGCCGUAAACGAUGUCUACUAGCCGUUGGGGAACUUGAUUCCUUAGUGGCGCAGCUAACGCACUAAGUAGACCGCCUGGGGAGUACGGCCGCAAGGUUAAAACUCAAAUGAAUUGACGGGGGCCCGCACAAGCGGUGGAGCAUGUGGUUUAAUUCGAUGCAACGCGAAGAACCUUACCAGGCCUUGACAUCCUCGGGACUUUCUAGAGAUAGAUUGGUGCCUUCGGGAACCGAGUGACAGGUGCUGCAUGGCUGUCGUCAGCUCGUGCCG